UUGUUGCAGUUAAAAGCUCGUAGUUGGAUUUCUGGUACAACGCGCCUGGCCCGCUUUUGUGAGUGCCGGUGCACGUUUGCCAUCCUUCUAGAAACCGUUUCUACCCGGGCAACUGGGCCGGACUCGUGAUCUAGAUCUUUUACUUUGAAAAAAUUAGAGUGUUUAAAGCAGGCUUUUGCUAUGAAUACAUUAGCAUGGAAUAAUAAUCUAGGACUUCGGUUCUAUUUUGUUGGUUUCUAGUACUGAAGUAAUGAUUGAUAGGGAUAGUUGGGGGUGCUAGUAUUGGCCGGCCAGAGGUGAAAUUCUUGGAUUCGGUCAAGACUAACUUAUGCGAAAGCAUUCACCAAGGAUGUCUUCUUUAAUCAAGAACGAAAGUUGGGGGAUCGAAGACGAUCAGAUACCGUCGUAGUCUCAACCAUAAACUAUGCCAACUAGGGAUGGGUGAACGUUGUUUUUUUGACUUCAUCUGCACCUUAUGAGAAAUCAAAGUCUUUGGGUUCCGGGGGGAGUAUGGUCGCAAGGCUGAAACUU
RNAcentral lists this ribosomal RNA (531 nucleotides) under uncultured eukaryote. RNAcentral describes it as "SSU rRNA". It matches the Rfam family "Eukaryotic small subunit ribosomal RNA", at positions 610 to 1145 of the family's 1831-position model. The record is from RNAcentral.